UGCUUUAGAUAGUGCAUCGCCCGCCGGGU
This 29-nucleotide non-coding RNA is filed under the name Mus musculus (house mouse). The record is from RNAcentral. Lineage: Eukaryota; Metazoa; Chordata; Mammalia; Rodentia; Muridae.